Long non-coding RNA from Corticium candelabrum, 183 nucleotides. RefSeq lists it as uncharacterized. The transcript has 3 exons. NCBI's taxonomy places the organism in Eukaryota, Metazoa, Porifera, Homoscleromorpha, Homosclerophorida, Plakinidae. The record is from RefSeq and is a predicted model, not a curated record.
UCGUGCUCGAUUGGCUCGAAUAUCAGUUCGUCACUUGCAACGCUAACAACCGAGCAGAACACGGUUGUAGACUGCUACGGAGAGGGACCCUCGUGUGAAAUAUCACUGUCAGAGACAACAAACAAAAAGAGAAUUCCACCUCACGCACGCUGUUCGUCUGAACUUCAUCCGCUCGUUGGCGUG